This 380-nucleotide ribosomal RNA is filed under the name uncultured eukaryote. Its description in RNAcentral is "partial 18S ribosomal RNA". It matches the Rfam family "Eukaryotic small subunit ribosomal RNA", at positions 592 to 976 of the family's 1831-position model. The record is from RNAcentral.
CAAUAGCGUAUAUUAAAGUUGUUGCAGUUAAAAAGCUCGUAGUUGGAUUUGUGGCGUACGGUGGGUUCCGGGCACUUGUUGUCUGAGUAACUUGCUGUUGCCAUCCUUGGGUGGAACCUGUGUGGCAUUAGGUUGUAGUGCAGGGGAUGCCCAUCAUUUACUGUGAAAAAAUUAGAGUGUUCAAAGCAGGCUUAUGCCGUUGAAUAUAUUAGCAUGGAAUAAUGAGAUAGGACUUUUUUGCUAUUUUGUUGGUUUGCGCAAAGAGGUAAUGAUUAAUAGGGACAGUUGGGGGUAUUCGUAUUCCAUUGUCAGAGGUGAAAUUCUUGGAUUUUUGGAAGACGAACUACUGCGAAAGCAUUUACCAAGGAUGUUUUCAUUAA